Cyprinus carpio (common carp) is the source of this 1069-nucleotide long non-coding RNA. The record is from Ensembl. NCBI's taxonomy places the organism in Eukaryota, Metazoa, Chordata, Actinopteri, Cypriniformes, Cyprinidae.
CAUUAGAUGCUUCUUUUAAAAACUUACUGACUCCAGAUUUUUAAAUGGUAUAGUAUAUCAUUUUCAUUUUACAGCUCUGUAUGUUAACAGUUUGCUCACUUAUGUCUGUUGUCAUUUCUCCAAAAGAAUUUUAGAGGAAACAUCUGAAAUGGCAAAUAAUUUGAACGAGGUAAAAAAAAAAAAAAAAAAGCAAUACAACUUUCCUGUAGUCUGGUGGAGUGAAUUGUGUGUGCAGAUGUACCUGACGCAGCACGGUACGCCGGAGCACUCUGAAUUUCUGUGACUGUGGUCGGCUGCAUUACUGAAGGAGCUGGAAGUGGGUUUGUGGCUUUUGUUCUGUUUACAGCCAUCAGUGCUUUUGUGAUUGUUUGUACUUAGAGAAGGGUGGAGUGUACGGUAAAUGCCUCCUGUUGGCCAGCCGCACAGCAGGGAGCGCUGGCCACAGAAACCCUGGAGAUGUGCAAGUCAAGAUGAGGGUCAGGGGUCAGUAGCAGUUUCUCAUUCUAUUUCUUCAAAGCAACAGGCAGCAGGCAGGGACACAGUGUAGACAUCUCCACCUGAGCCACUGCAGAGCAUUGUGGGUAACCAUCUUCUCCAUCACCAACCACUCCUGUGCGAUCGUUACAGACGCUCAGGUCCAGAGUGAACCCUCUGCUAACACACACACACACAUACACGCUCAUCAUACACUCAGUUGUGGUUUACUCAGGCACUUAGUCGUCCUGUGAGCUCCUCUGAGCAGUCAUAACUGCCCAACCUGAUCUAGUUCUCCAUUCCUUCUCUCUCUUUUACAGACUUCCUGUGUUCAUCAAUCAAGAAAACCAAAGAGAAGUGAGUGGGAAUCGUGGCCAGAGACCUUAACCUCAAAGCUACAGUAAUGCAGAAAGCCUCUUUGCUGGAUGUCUCAAGUACCAAUGGCACUCCUGUAUAAAAAGCAAUGGCAUCAAUAAUUAAGCACUGAUUAGGUUUAAUAUUUAAUGUUGGCGACAUGUAAUUUACACAUGCAAACCAGAAAUCCGGAGCUGCCGACUGAAAUAAACAACUCUAUUUCUGUAUGGGUGACCUGAAA